RNAcentral lists this unclassified non-coding RNA (422 nucleotides) under Hevea brasiliensis (rubber tree). Lineage: Eukaryota; Viridiplantae; Streptophyta; Magnoliopsida; Malpighiales; Euphorbiaceae. The record is from RNAcentral.
GAUUUCUUCUACAACAGAGAUCGGAUUUCACUCUCUCGUUUGUGCUUUUCCGUUCAGAGAUGGCGAAGUCGAAGAAUCACACAGCUCACAAUCAAUCACGCAAAGCCCAUAAGAACGGCAUCAAGAAACCAAGGAAGCACCGCCAUACUUCCACCAAAGGGAUGGAUCCGAAGUUCCUUAGGAAUCAGAGGUACGCGAAGAAACACAAUAAUAAGAGUGGGGAAAAUGCUUUUGAGGAAGAGUAAACUAGACAGCUAUGUAGCCGCCAAGUUUAGGGUUUUUAUGAUAUGAGUUUUUCUUAUAUUGAAUCUUUUGUUAUUGCUCUUCUUUUUGUUCAGUAGUCUUGCUAUUUUGACUCAAUGUGGAAACUGUUGCUUCUGAGGCCUGUUUUACGAUAAUUCAUUAUCUGAUUUGCACUAUUA